RNAcentral lists this long non-coding RNA (4274 nucleotides) under Cucumis sativus (cucumber). Its description in RNAcentral is "long non-coding RNA (CSAT_LNC000540)". The record is from RNAcentral. Lineage: Eukaryota; Viridiplantae; Streptophyta; Magnoliopsida; Cucurbitales; Cucurbitaceae.
CAAAGAGCUCGAAUUCUAUAUGAAGAAGCUCCAAAGAAAGAAGGGAAAAGGAGCUGGUGCUGCUUAAAUUUUGGUUAUGGUUUCAGCCAGUAUUUUCCUGUUCACUCCUUUUCUUAUGAAGACAACGAGCUGUUGCAGCUAUUUUGGAACUUUGAUUUUGCUGGUAAUAGUUUAAUUAUAGUACCUUUGACCUUUUUUCAUGGUAACAACAGUUUGCUUAAUUAGCUUGAGUUUAAGUUCAAAAUUUUCUAGUCAAUUUAUGUAAGCGGGUUGGUUUGGUUGUUUGAUCUAGAAUUUAUAGAAGUACAAAUGGAUUAUAGAGUGAUUUAAACUCACACUGCUUCUUUUAAAACCAAAUUCGUUGAAUUUCUCACUUUAUAAUUUUUGUUAUGUCUCUGAAAGUUCGAAGUUUCCAAUUCUUCUUUAUCUACACUCAAAUUCACUUCUUUGAUUUGUUGGAAAUUUGAUUGAAUUAUGGUAGUUUUAGUGUGUUUCUUUAAAUUCAGAAAAAUAUUUAUAGGUUUCAAAUAUACAGACGUUAGACUACAAAUAGUCAUUGCUAAAAUUUUAGGGAAUUGCUUUAUGCUUCUUAGUUUUAAUGUAAUUUAAUUAAUUAUUUUUAUCAGGUAGUUGCUUAAUAAAUCGUGUUCAUUUUUGCUGUAAAAAAAUCCUCUUUUUCUUUAUGAAAAAUAUAACCUCUAAUUCACACCAUCAUGGAAAUGAGCUUUUCUUUUUCUUGUGAAUAAAUAUGAAUGUGAGAUUGAAAAGCUUCGGAUGUAUUAAAAAAGUUUUCAAUGUAGUAUUUGUAUUUGUAAAAUGCAAGAUUUAAUUGAUUAUUUUGGCAAGCAUGUAUAUAUUUUUCUUUUAUCAUCUGUUAAAUUUUUCUUAAAAGAAUUGCAUUGCACGUGUUUAAUAAUUUUAAAUAAUGAGUGAAAUUGUAAUUUCCAUAAUUGUUUGCUAUUGUGUUCGCAAAAUUAAUAAUAACUCUAAUAAAUUAUUUUCAAUUUAUUAAAAAUAGAGUGAAAGUUUGACAAACGUUUUUAAUUAAUUUUGUUGUGUUUAAUACUUAAAACUAUUUAUGAAAAAAGAGUUAAAAAAAUAGAUCAAAGUUUACCAUCUUAAAAUAUUAUCCAAGUUAUACAAUCCACAAAAAGGAGAGAACAAUAACGUUGAAGAACCUUUCGAUUUAUGAAGGUUGCGAAAACUUGUGGGGUUUUAAACAUUUUAAAUUCUAUUAUUAGUUUUAACUAAAUACAAAAUCAUAAAUGUUAAUCUUAACUUAUUUGUCACAAAAUAAAAGAGUAACUUGUAGUUAUUGCCUUUGUUGUAUUUUUAAAUUUUUUUAUUUAAAUUUAGAACAUUACAAAAAUAAACAAUUUAUUAUUUAGAGAAAUCAGAUUGUAUAGUUAAAUAAAAUUGAUAUAUUUUAAUUAAUACAAAACACAAAGAAGUAUGAUAUUUUUCCUAAUUAGUGAAAAAUGUAAAGGAUAAAAUUGUCGAUUUUUUUUUUCAAAUAAACUAGCUCUCUAAUAAUUUGAAUGGAAUAUUACUUAAUGUAACUAUUAUUUUAAUAAUGUUUCAAAUUUUAGUUUCUUCAAUACUUCAAUGACUUUAUUGUAUAAAAUAUCCAUGAAGUUCGAAUUUUAUAGUUUUUAAUUUAAUUUAUUUUUGUAAAAAGAUUAUUUCAAUUUAAUUCUCUAGUUUUAAAUACUUUUCAAUAAGGUUAAAGUAGUCAAUAUUAAAUUUACGUGACAUAAUAUUUAAUAUAUGAAUGAUAGAAUAUUACUUUUUUUUUUUAUCAAUAUUGGAAAAACAAUAAUAGAGAAAAAAUUAAAAAUUCUACAAAUAUUUUAAAUUUUUUUAUAAAAUAAGGACGUAAAUAUCAAGUAGUAUAUAUCUUUUUUCGUGAGAAUUGUAUUUUUUAAUCAUCCAUGCAUAGUCCUUUUAUAUUUAAAGAGCUUUAUUAUAACAUAAAGAGCUUUAUUCUAAAAUGUUAUGUAUGACUACUAAAAGAAAAAAAAAAAGUUGUGUAAAAAUGGCUAAUGUGAGAACAAAACACUGAAAUCCAAAUAGAAAAAAGAAUAAAGCGUUUAGAUGUUGGUAAAGAUUGAUAAUAAAGAAUAAUUAUUUUACAGUGGUAGAUAUGUUAGAGUUAUAAUACCUUUUCGAUUAUAUAACUUCUAAAAUCUGACUUUUAAUUAAAUUAAUGAAAUGAAAUCUUUAAAAUAAUAGGAUGGUGAGGUGUAUGGUGUAAUACAUUUUAAAUGUAACCGUGCUUGAAUUUUUAUGAGUAUUUUAGUCUAAGAAUGAGUAUUGUAGUUUAAAAUUGUUUUUGCAAAACCAUGAAAUUAAAUGGAUAUAUGAGAUUUUAUUUUAAUAUAAAAACCACUCGAAAAACCUCCUUUAAUUGAAAAAUUGUAAAAAAAUAUUUAAUGAUUUUUAGUGAUUUUUUUUCUAUUAAGUGUAAAUAUCUUAUUAUUAUUUUUAUUUUUAAAACCCCUCUAUUUAAUUAGAAACUUUUUAUUAAUUCAUAUUUUAGGGUGGUUUAAGAAAUUACGGUGAAUUAAUAACAAAAUCUUUUAUAAGUUAUUAACAUUAUUUGAAAUGUUUUUUUUUUAAAAAAAUAUAUUUGAACGCUUUUUUAAUCAUUUGCUUAAAAUUGUUUAGUUAUUUAAAGUGGUUGAAUUAAUGGCAUAAACUUGACAUUCUAAAAAGAUGAAGGUGUGUUUAUAAAUGUUUUUUUUCCCUUCAGAUUCCUACUUUUUAUAUAUUAUAGAUUUGUAUUUAUACUCUUUUUUUAGUCAGGUUAAAUUAUUAUAUUGAGGCUAAAUAGUUAGUUUCCUAAACAUUAUCAAACUGUGAUUAUAACUAAAUCAAUUAGUGACUCAAAAACACUCCCGAUGUUAGUUUUUAGGUGUACAUAGGUGUUUGCUUCUAGGUGUAAGUAGGUAUGUGGGGUUUAUGAGUUUUAUGUAACUUUUAGAGGUUCUUUUUUUCUUUUUUUAAUGAAUGAUACAAUAUUUUGAUUCCAAUCAAAAAUGGUUUCGAGUUUCAAAUUUAACGAGAAAUGAUAGGUGCAUGUGAUUUUAUUCAAAUAUCCUCAUUUUAGUACGCUUCAAACACUCUUCUUGCGUCCAUGUCUUGAUCCAAAUCCCACUCUCCACUAAAGUUCCAUGCUCAAUCCCGCUUGACGAUCCACAUUUCUAAUUGCGUUUCUUGCUCAACGAUUCCACUUUUCGACACGUAGGCUCGUUAAAUCAGUUGACUUUUUGUAUUUUCUGUUUUAUGUUUUCCAAGUAGAGUUCUCAACAAGAAGUGUUUUCAUUAAUAUCACAAUAAGUGUUUAUCAAUUUCUAUUAUUGAUAAAAUAUAACACUUUGUUACCUUUUAUAAAUAUUUUGGUUUUUUUUGUUAUAUUUGAAAAUGUCCCUUUAAUAAAUUUAUUUUAAGAUUUUAAGAUUUGAAGUUUGUUUUAAGUAAACAUAGGAAACAAUUCGCUCCAAUUUUUUUUGUUCUUUCCUUUGUGAUUUUUUCUUUAAUCCUAACAAACAAAUUUACCUCGGGAUGAAUUCAAAUUUCACUUAUGAGUAACUAAUGAAGGUAAAAAUAAAAGUGUUAAAAGCUUGGAAGGAUUGUUCUACAAAAGAAAAAACUUCAAAAUAAAAUUGAAAAACUAAACCCAUUCUUCAAUACUUAGUUUUACAAUUUAAUUUUUUUUAAAACAAUAAUAUGGAAGAUUUGUGAAGUUUAAGACCAAUAACAACACCACCAAUAAUAAACCAUCAAAGCUAAGUUGAAUAAUGUAAGGCAUUGAAUUGAAACUUUCACAUAAAUAUGUAAAAAACUAAUUAAUUAAACUCAAAUAAUGAGUGGAAAUAGGUAAUUGUAACUUGUGAGUAAUGAUUCUAUUUGGAGGUAUUUGCCUCGAAGUCAACCAUUGUGAGAGUACUCAUUGAGAGUUUAAUCUUUUUGCAAAAGAGAAAAGAUAAUCUAAAGAAUUAUGAAAAAAGAAAAGCAUUUUAUAUUCCUCAUUUGAUAGAGCCAUGAAUUAAAUACAAGUUUUAGUUGCAAUAAUUAGAAUCUGGAUGACUCACUCUUUCUCUUAAAAUAUUCUCUUUCUUUAUGUGUUAGCUUAGCCUAUAUAUAUCAUUCAUAUAUAUCCAAAAAUGGUGAACUCAAUUUAUAUGUUUUAGGAUUUGUUGGUUGCCUAAAAAAUUUUCUUUUUUCAUCUAAAUAUGUCAACUUUUAGACUUUUAUUUUUACUUUUUAAAAAA